CUGAAUCUAGUAACCCGAGUUC
This 22-nucleotide non-coding RNA is filed under the name Arabidopsis thaliana (thale cress). The record is from RNAcentral. Lineage: Eukaryota; Viridiplantae; Streptophyta; Magnoliopsida; Brassicales; Brassicaceae.